Long non-coding RNA from Corythoichthys intestinalis (scribbled pipefish), 5828 nucleotides. RefSeq lists it as uncharacterized. The transcript has 4 exons. Lineage: Eukaryota; Metazoa; Chordata; Actinopteri; Syngnathiformes; Syngnathidae. The record is from RefSeq and is a predicted model, not a curated record.
AUGUCUGGCAUGAAUCGCUGUUUUUAGGUCAUGCUACAGCAUCUCAAUGGGGUACAAGUCUGGACUUUGGCUUUGCCAUUGCAGAAUUUUGUUCUUCUGAAACCAUUCUGAAGUUGAUGACCUCUGUGUUUAGGAUCAUUUUUUUGUUGCAGCAUCCUCUUUUUAGCUUCAACUGUCUGACAGACGGCUUCAGGUUUUCCUGCAAAACAUUCUGAUAAACUUCUGAAUUCAUGCUUCCAUGAAUGAUUGCAAGUUGUCCAGGCCUUGAGGCAACAAAACAGCCCAAAAUCAUGAUGCUCAAUAUUUUGCCAAAACUACUGUGGAGUGUCCGAGUGUCUUUUCGCGAACAUUAAACGAGCAACAAUGUUUUUUAAGACAGCACUGACUUCCUCUGUGGAGUCCUCCCAUGAACACCAUUCUUGGCCAAAGUUUUACAUGUACUUGAUGUGUGCACAGAAAUAUUGGACUGUGCCAAGUCUUUAGCAGACACUCUAGGGUUCUUUUUUUUACCUCUCUGAGUAUUCUGCGCUCAACUCUUGGCGUCAUCUUUGGUGGACGGCCACUCCUUGGGAGAGAAGCACCAGUUCCAAACUCUCCAUUUGUAGACAACUUCUUUGACUGUCGAUUGAUGAACAUCCUGACUUUUAGAGAUGGUUUUGUAUCCUCUCCCAGAUCAAUACAAAUUUAAAAUCCUUGAUCGCAGGUCUUCAGGCAGCUCUUUUGACUGAGCCAUAUUGCACAUCAGACAAUGCUUCUCAUCAAGACAAUUCUUACCAGGUCUGUGGUUGAUAGUGGGCAGGUUAGUUUUAAACUACUUAUCAGUGAUUGGGCACACACCUGACUUAAAUUGUUUGGUAAAAAUUAGGCAGAAGGUUCACUUAUUUUUCCCCUUCUGUCAUUUUUGCAUGUUAUCCUCAUUAAAAUAUGAAAACCUUUAUAAGUCGCAACGGAAUAUUAGCCAUGUCUAUGUAUUGACCACCGGGCUAUCCAGGUAAAUCAAUCGGGUAGUUGUCACAUCGCUUUUUUUUUUUUUUUUUUUUGCUGUUGUCUUGCUGUUUUGAAUACCUGCAGAUUCUCCCUGAUCCGAUGGGGAGUCACCGAUUUGGCAACAACCGUCACGUUCCUCUGAAUGUGGAACCUGAUGAGAACCUGGUGAUACGAUACGGCGUUAUGGAAGCGAAUGCUCUUUAAAUUGCACUGCAGUGUGUUACCUGUGCUGCCGUCUUGCCGUACUUUCUAGAAAUUUCUUUGACUUUUGGCUCAGCCAUGAGCGAAGGUUCACCAGAAAAUGCCCUUCACAAGUAGAAAAAAUCGAUUGUCACACGUGGAAUGUGUAGUCACAAGACAAUUUUCUGGAAAAUCAAUGCUAAAUGUGUUUGUUUCAAGCUGCUGUGGUGCUUUUUUUAGAUUUGAAGCUGUUUGGAUUUCAGGAUUAUUUUGUCCAAGGGCGUACAGUAGGUUUGCAUAGGGACGGUAGGGACAUAACACUACCAACUUUUCAGGAUGCUCAAAUGAUCCCCACCAACUUUUAAGCAACCUUAUUUGCAUUUAUCAUGACUUCAGUUAUAUAGGUCAUUUAGAUUGUCUUCCUAUAUGCUGUAGGGAUAGAAUUGACCCUACCAUUAUUAAGUGAAUUGCAGUACUUUCAUUAUGUUCAGACUUACACUGACCCCUUUUCACUCGCUGAAUGUGCCAGUCCAUUUUUUUCAAUCAAACGCACGUUUAAUUGGCUGAUGACUUGAACCCCCACCCACCCACACACACAGGCAUUCACAGCCCGACAGAAAUACAACAUGCCGCCUCCCCCGCCCCCUUCGAAGACAAGGGAUAUUAGAAGUUUUUUCCACCAGCAGCAGCCACUGUAAGUAGUGUAAAAAGACGUCAAUGUUGUGGAGGUGGGAACACACAACUAAUUUUGCUUCUGCUACGGUGCUUCAAGUCGAUUUUACUCGCUUAGAUUUCUUGAAAUAAAAACAGCUAGCUGAAAAUAAGCUUAAGACUUAUUUUAAGCAAAAAAGUUGGCAUAUUUAGUCUUAAAAGAAAAACUUGUUCGUCAGAAAUGUUCUUAAUUCAAGAAUAUUGUUCAAAACAUUAUUUGAAAGAAUUUUUUUUCUUGAUUUAAGUGAAAAAUGGCCAACUUUUAGAUGUAUGGGCUCAAUACGAACAAAUAGUAAUAUUUAGUUAUAGUAAGUGGAAGAAUCUGACGCAUUAAUCUGUUAACUAGCCUUUAACACUCAAAAAAAAAGAUGGCAGAAAAUUAUUUGAUUAGGUUUUAUUAAAUUAUUAUAUAAAUUUGCAGUGUAAAGGUUGGUAUGGGUCAAUGCAGAUUUAUUUUGCAUUGAUCACUUAGCCUAUCAAUUAUUUCGGUUCAUAUAGGUGAGAAAUGUAGCCCUGACCCCCAUUCACCAAGCAAGAAGUGGACAUGCAGGUUAUGCUGUUAUAUUGUCCCUAUAAUAUUAAGAACAAACCUACGCUCUUUAUUUUGUCUGUGACAUUUUGUCUUACCAGGGUCUCUCAGGCGAUCCCAGCGGACUAUAAGCUGUAACGAAGAUGCCCCUCAAGUGGCAGUAAUUGAUCAACUUCUCCUGGAUCAGGAACGGGUGGCACUCGAUCUAUAAACAUACGAAUUUAAAUGAACUGCUGAGAUUAGCGGUAUUUCCACAUUCCUUUGAUUACCUGAUUGAUGGCCGGCUUGUACUUGAGGCCCGGCUUUUUGAGAAUGGCAUCGAUUUGGUCCUUGUUGAAGUUGGACACACCGAUAGCCUUGACCAAACCGGAGUCCACAAGCUCCUCCAUGGCCUGUACAAUGAACAUUAGUACCGUAUCGUGCAUAAUUUCUGGUUCUAUUCUUUGCUACCAGCUGCUCCGAUUACCUCCCAAGUGUCAAGGAAACUGCUACCAUCAGGGAUGACUUGCUCGUGCUCAUCCAAUGGAAAAAGCUCGUCCCCAGCCUGCAAAAUUAAACAAUUUUGCUGGAAUAUUUUCCUGAUUUAUUUUGAGAAAAGAGGGAUAACCUUGGCACCCAUUGGGAAGUGCAUGAGGUAGAGGUCCAAGUAAUCCAAUCUAAGGUUUUGUAGAGUCUUUUCACAGGCUUUCCUCACCAAAGACGGUAGAUGGAAGGUGCACCAUAACUGCAGAAAACAAUCAGCCAUAACACAAAAACCUAAAACUCAAAAAUGUGAAUUCAAACCCUGGUUGGUCAUAUAUGGUAUACCUUACUGACAAUGAACAGCUCCUCCCUCUCCACCUCGCCGUUCUCAACUACGGUUUGAAUUCCAGCACCGACUUCGUCCUCGUUCUGGUACACAUGUGCAGCGUCAAUGUGGCGGUAGCCAGCGCCAAUUGCCACUUUCACCGCCUCGAUGACUGUUCCUGCGUCAGCCUGUUGUCAGAGGAUGUUAAAGCAGAAUACUUUCAGCUGUGAGACGUUUGAGGGGUUUCUUGCAUGUACAGCCCGUUUCACUCCACAGCAAUUGGAUUAAGAUCUGGGCUUUGACGCCAUUCCAGGACUCUCCAUUUCUUCCUUUUCAGCCAGUCGUUGGUGGAUUUCAGAUGAUCACACAUCUUCCUCAAGCACCCUCUGAUACACGAUAGAAUUCAUUGUGGAUUCUAUGAUGGGGAGCUGGCCAGGUCCUGUUGAAGCAAAGCAUCCCCAAACCAUGACACUUUCCACCUCCAUGCUUCACAGUUGAUUCAUCUGUCCGAAGAACAUUAAUCCAGAAGUCCUGGUCUUUUUCUACAUUCACUCUGGCAAACUUCAGUCUGGCCUUUAUGUUGUUCUUGGAGAGCAAAGGUUUCCUCCUUGCACACCUCUCAUGAAGGUUGCAAGAGCCGACUGUAGGUCCCGUGAUGACAUUUUAGGGGUUUUGGAGACUUCUUUUAGCAUCUUGCGGUCUGCUCUGGGUUGAACGUGCUUGGACGGCUAGACCUGGGGCAUGCCCUCCACUUGUAAACUAUUUUCUACAGACAGUAGAAAGGCUGAUUUUAUAUUCUUUUGAAAUCCCUUACCAGACUCAUAAGCGUCGACAAUCUUCUUUCUGAAGGCCUCAGACAGCUCUUUUGAUCUCACUAUGGUGUUUUCUCUCACUUCAACAGUCAGGGGCGCACCAAACUAUGAUCUCAACAUGGUGUUUUCUCUCACUUCAACAGUCAGGGUCACACCAAACCAAAUGUGAGGUUGAAAUAAGGCAAGCCUCCUUCAAAACACUGGGUAAUGAUGUUCUAAUCAUGUGCAACUGAUAUGAUACACCUGUGUGUGAUUUUAGCCAUGUCAUUGCAUUGAUUUAAAAUUAACUUUUACACAAAGUAACAAUUUUUUUUCACAUGACUGUACAUUUCGGAAGUUUUUAUUAGAAUAGUAGCCAAAGUAACAUUUUGAUUGUACUCUUAUCCAAAACUACUGUUUUGGUCGGCUUACUAUCUAGUUUUAGCAGGUAGAAUGUAUGUUUUACGGGGUUUAAUUCUGGACAAUCUAAAACUCCACAUUUACUAGAAUGACGGUACUCGUUUCGUCUGUAGGGUUUAAGUUUGGGGACUGACUUGACAAAUAACUUGUUUUUGUCAGUAUGCUAAUGUCUAUUUUUUGAUACUGUACAUUAACCCCAACAAUUCUAGGUUCCCUAAUAAACUUUUUCCACCACUGGAAACAUUUUUACAGGUUUCAACGCUUAAAUCGUUCAUUGUCUGCUCAGUUACAAUAAUAUAAACAUCUCGUUUCCUCACUAAGCUAUUGAAUUUAAAAAGCCUACAAAUUACCUUCUAUCUUAAAAAAAAACAACCGUUCAUACAUUUUGGAGGCUUUAAUAGUUUAGUACCCAAAUUUCCAGACUUACCCUCCAUGUCCCAAGUCCAACAAAAGGCAUCUUAGCUCCAUUGUUGAGCGUAAUAGCAGGAAUCUCGAUCUUCUUCCCCUUCAUUUCUGUGGCCAAAAUAUCUGGAAGGAAGGAUUCCAUAAUAUACUCAUCAUGUGUGGCUCUAUAUAUCCGCCAGAGAAGGGCUGCUGACCCAGAGGCGGAGAUUUUAGUCAUUUAAACGGUGCAUUAUGCGCAUGAAACUUUGCUGUAGUUUCAGACUAAUGUUGAUUCCACCCCAGCAAAAAUGAUGGAAUCACCAGUCUCAAAAGAAAUUUAUUUCUGAACUUUGUAUGGAAAAUGCACAAAAAAAAUGCUGAAAAGUAUUUUUGAAAAACAAAACUUAUUUAUCCUGGGUCUCAUUUUAAGAUACAAAAUGAAUGACAUUUUUUUUUCUAAAUGCCACUAAUUUGUUGAAAUUUCUAUCUGAACCCUGCCCAUGACAAACCCUUCAACCCAGAGAUUGAGGGACGAAACCGUGGAACCUUACACGUGCGCAAAGAAUUUUCACGACAUUACAUUAUAUUAGCAAUCCAUUAUAUUGACAAUCCACUUGCAAUUCAAAUUCCAAACCAGCAGCACACGGUCAGUGCAUUGAUGUUCAUGGCAAUUUGACAGGGUGAAUGUACUAAGACAAAAGAAUGACACAUCGCAGAUUAACAAGGUCAAAGGAGUACGUGGAGUAUUUUAAUUUGAGUCAGUUCUGCGUCUGACUGAUUUCAACCAAUAUAGCAAAGUCAUUGUUUUGACCCUACCAUUGUAGGGUAACAAUAGAUCUAUUGUCGUAUACAUUUACAGCAGUGACAGCGAAUGAAACCCACCGAAAUUGUUUUUAAUCCAUAAACUAUAAAGCCUUGUCUUAGGCUCACCCUCAACCAGACGGCGUACCGGCCGGGAUAAACUUUUCAGGCGGAACUGUCAAAACCCCAUGUUUGAACAAAACCCAGCCACGCCACACGCGCAUCUCCAAUACGAACA